UACAGAGGUGGCGAGCGUUGUUCGGAAUCACUGGGCUUAAAGCGUGUGUAGGCGGAUCAGUAAGUGUCUUGUGAAAUCCCCCGUCUCAACCGGGGAACUGCUGGGCAAACUACUGGUCUUGAGGUAGGCAGGGGUGCUUGGAACUCUUGGUGGAGCGGUGAAAUGCGUAGAUAUCAAGAGGAACGCCUGUGGAGAAAUCGGAGCACUGGGCCUAAACUGACGCUGAGACACGAAAGCGUGGGGAGUGAACGGGAUUAGAUACCCCGGUA
RNAcentral lists this ribosomal RNA (269 nucleotides) under uncultured prokaryote. RNAcentral's name for it is "partial 16S ribosomal RNA". It matches the Rfam family "Bacterial small subunit ribosomal RNA", at positions 524 to 792 of the family's 1533-position model. The record is from RNAcentral.